UAGGGAAUCUUCCGCAAUGGACGAAAGUCUGACGGAGCGACGCCGCGUGAGCGAAGAAGGUCUUCGGAUCGUAAAGCUCUGUUGUUAGGGAAGAAGAAGUGCCGUUCGAACAGGGCGGCGCGGUGACGGUACCUAACGAGAAAGCCCCGGCUAACUACGUGCCAGCAGCCGCGGUAAUACGUAGGUGGCAAGCGUUGUCCGGAAUUAUUGGGCGUAAAGCGCGCGCAGGCGGUUCCUUAAGUCUGAUGUGAAAUCUCGCGGCUCAACCGCGAGCGGCCAUUGGAAACUGGGGAACUUGAGUGCAGGAGAGGGGAGCGGAAUUCCACGUGUAGCGGUAAAAUGCGUAGAGAUGUGGAGGAACACCAGUGGCGAAGGCGGCUCUCUGGCCUGUAACUGACGCUGAGGCGCGAAAGCGUGGGGAGCGAACAGG
This 430-nucleotide ribosomal RNA is filed under the name bacterium. RNAcentral describes it as "partial 16S ribosomal RNA". It matches the Rfam family "Bacterial small subunit ribosomal RNA", at positions 355 to 776 of the family's 1533-position model. The record is from RNAcentral.